Molecule: ribosomal RNA, 266 nt
Filed under: uncultured bacterium
Lineage: Bacteria
Description: partial 16S ribosomal RNA
Rfam family: Bacterial small subunit ribosomal RNA
Source: RNAcentral
GUCCACGCCCUAAACGAUGUCAACUAGGUGUUGGGUGGGUAAAACCAUUUAGUACCGGAGCUAACGCGUGAAGUUGACCGCCUGGGGAGUACGGCCGCAAGGUUAAAACUCAAAGGAAUUGACGGGGACCCGCACAAGCGGUGGAUGAUGUGGAUUAAUUCGAUGCAACGCGAAAAACCUUACCUACCCUUGACAUGUCCAGGAGCCUGAAGAGAUUUGGGUGUGCCCGAAAGGGAACUGGAACACAGGUGCUGCAUGGCUGUCGU